ACUACUAAAGAUACCGACAUUAUCUUAAGUACGGUCUAUCGUUUAGGUAUUCAAAUCCAAAGGCUCAGUAGACUUUAGAUUUGAAUAUCGAUACUAUAGUACGUAGUUUAAACCGAAACAAGAACAAUUUGAACGGAUUUCAUCGUGUCUGAUUUAUACAAUUAUAAACCAGAUAUGAUGAAAUCCGUUUGAUUUGUUUUCGUUUCGUAAGUACUGCUGACAGUUUUUUUCGGAUAUAAACGUACACGAAAUUGGUGAUAAUGUUAUGUUUCUUCAUAAUCGUAAAUUCGUAAAUAUUUUACAAAUUAAAUAUUACCUACAUCAAUGUACCUACAACACAAACCAAAAUGUAUACAAUUUUAUAUAUUACCACCCGAUUUAUGUCAAGUAUAAUGGAAAUAAUUUGGGCUUCAGAGUGGUUUUCGAAACACGUCACAACUAAAAUUAAAUGCCAAAUGAGC
Long non-coding RNA from Adelges cooleyi (spruce gall adelgid), 461 nucleotides. RefSeq lists it as uncharacterized. The transcript is spliced from 5 exons. NCBI's taxonomy places the organism in Eukaryota, Metazoa, Arthropoda, Insecta, Hemiptera, Adelgidae. The record is from RefSeq and is a predicted model, not a curated record.